Molecule: ribosomal RNA, 253 nt
Filed under: uncultured bacterium
Lineage: Bacteria
Description: partial 16S ribosomal RNA
Rfam family: Bacterial small subunit ribosomal RNA
Source: RNAcentral
UACGAAGGGUGCAAGCGUUACUCGGAAUUACUGGGCGUAAAGCGUGCGUAGGUGGUGAGUUAAGUCUGUCGUGAAAGCCCCGGGCUCAACCUGGGAAUGGCGAUGGAUACUGGCUCGCUAGAGUGCGGUAGAGGAGAGUGGAAUUCCUGGUGUAGCGGUGAAAUGCGUAGAUAUCAGGAGGAACACCGGUGGUGUAGACGGCUCUCUGGACCGUAACUGACGCUGAGGCACGAAAGCGUGGGUAGCAAACAGG